UGGGGAAUAUUGGACAAUGGGCGAAAGCCUGAUCCAGCAAUGCCGCGUGAGUGAUGAAGGCCUUAGGGUUGUAAAGCUCUUUUACCAUCGGGAUGAUAAUGACAGUACCUGGAGAAUAAGCUCCGGCUAACUCCGUGC
Molecule: ribosomal RNA, 138 nt
Filed under: uncultured bacterium
Lineage: Bacteria
Description: partial 16S ribosomal RNA
Rfam family: Bacterial small subunit ribosomal RNA
Source: RNAcentral